AGAUUGAACGCUAGCGGGAUGCCUUACACAUGCAAGUCGAACGGCAGCACGGACUUCGGUCUGGUGGCGAGUGGCGAACGGGUGAGUAAUAUAUCGGAACGUGCCCAGUAGCGGGGGAUAACUACGCGAAAGCGUAGCUAAUACCGCAUACGCCCUUAGGGGGAAAGCAGGGGAUCGCAAGACCUUGCACUAUUGGAGCGGCCGAUAUCGGAUUAGCUAGUUGGUGAGGUAAUGGCUCACCUAAGGCUGCGAUCCGUAGCUGGUUUGAGAGGACGACCAGCCACACUGGGACUGAGACCACGGCCCAGACCUCCGUACGGGGAGGCCUAAGCAGGUGGGGUAAUUUUGGGACUAAGGUCGGGGGAAACCCUGGUACU
RNAcentral lists this ribosomal RNA (377 nucleotides) under uncultured soil bacterium. Its description in RNAcentral is "bacterial SSU rRNA". It matches the Rfam family "Bacterial small subunit ribosomal RNA", at positions 26 to 388 of the family's 1533-position model. The record is from RNAcentral.